Molecule: ribosomal RNA, 425 nt
Filed under: uncultured bacterium
Lineage: Bacteria
Description: partial 16S ribosomal RNA
Rfam family: Bacterial small subunit ribosomal RNA
Source: RNAcentral
GUGGGGAAUAUUGGACAAUGGGCGAAAGCCUGAUCCAGCAAUGCCGCGUGAGUGAUGAAGGCCUUAGGGUUGUAAAGCUCUUUUACCAGGGAUGAUAAUGACAGUACCUGGAGAAUAAGCUCCGGCUAACUCCGUGCCAGCAGCCGCGGUAAUACGGAGGGAGCUAGCGUUGUUCGGAAUUACUGGGCGUAAAGCGCGCGUAGGCGGCUCAGCAAGUCAGGGGUGAAAUCCCGGGGCUCAACCCCGGAACUGCCUUUGAAACUGCUAGGCUAGAAUCCUGGAGAGGCGAGUGGAAUUCCGAGUGGAGAGGUGAAAUUCGUAGAUAUUCGGAAGAACACCAGUGGCGAAGGCGACUCGCUGGACAGGUAUUGACGCUGAGGUGCGAAAGCGUGGGGAGCAAACAGGAUUAGAAACCCGAGUAGUCC